RNAcentral lists this transfer RNA (69 nucleotides) under Cynoglossus trigrammus. RNAcentral describes it as "tRNA-Glu". It matches the Rfam family "tRNA". Rfam says of the family: Transfer RNA (tRNA) molecules are approximately 80 nucleotides in length. Their secondary structure includes four short double-helical elements and three loops (D, anti-codon, and T loops). The record is from RNAcentral. Lineage: Eukaryota; Metazoa; Chordata; Actinopteri; Pleuronectiformes; Cynoglossidae.
GUUCUUGUAGUUGAAUGACAACAGUGGUUUUUCGGGCCAUUGGUUUUGGUUAAAAUCCAAAUGAGAAUU